Molecule: transfer RNA, 69 nt
Filed under: Hyphomicrobiales bacterium
Lineage: Bacteria; Pseudomonadati; Pseudomonadota; Alphaproteobacteria; Hyphomicrobiales
Description: Rhizobiales bacterium tRNA-Met
Source: RNAcentral
UAAGAUAUUAACUUGAUAAUCAGUCUCAUAACCUGAAGGUCGCAGGUUCAAAUCCUGCCCCCGCAACCA